Molecule: ribosomal RNA, 468 nt
Filed under: uncultured bacterium
Lineage: Bacteria
Description: partial 16S ribosomal RNA
Rfam family: Bacterial small subunit ribosomal RNA
Source: RNAcentral
GACGAACGCUGGCGGCGUGCUUAACACAUGCAAGUCGAACGGAAAGGCCCUGCUUUUGCGGGGUGCUCGAGUGGCGAACGGGUGAGUAACACGUGAGUAACCUGCCCUUGACUGUGGGAUAACUUCAGGAAACUGGGGCUAAUACCGGAUAGGAGCUCCUGCUGCAUGGCGGGGGUUGGAAAGUUUCGGCGGUUGGGGAUGGACUCGCGGCUUAUCAGCUUGUCUGUGGGGUAGUGGCUUACCAAGGCUUUGGCGGGUAGCCGGCCUGAGAGGGUGACCGGCCACAUUGGGACUGAGGUACGGCCCAGACUCGUACGGGGGGCAGCAGUGGGGAACAUUGCACAGUGGGCGGAAGCCUGAUGCGGCAACGCCGCGUGCGGGAUGACGGCCUUCGGGUUGUAAACCGCUUUCGCCUGUGACGAAGCGUGAGUGACGGUAAUGGGUAAAGAAGCACCGGCUAACUACGUG